Molecule: long non-coding RNA, 1668 nt
Organism: Hemibagrus wyckioides
Lineage: Eukaryota; Metazoa; Chordata; Actinopteri; Siluriformes; Bagridae
Exons: 3
Source: RefSeq, a predicted model, not a curated record
AUAGGAUAGGAAGAUAGAUAGGAAGAUGAUACCGUGCAAUAAACGUCCUCAUAUUUUAAUACUGCACGGCUGCUAGUGCCCUUCAGUUAUAGUUAUAGUUAUGUAAGAGCUCUAUUCAGUUAAAUCUAGAUAGAAUAGAAAGAUGUAAUUUGUUCAGAAGGGGUGUUAUGGGUUUUUGAAUGAAGACGAUGACAGCACUUCUCGUCCGUUUGUACAUGAGUGCAUUUACAUCAGCACGGGGUCAUGCGAGCAGGACCUGCCACAUUCACGUCUUCAUGCUUGUAAAACUGUUUCCCUCAAGCAAGCACUUAAACGCUGACACUGUACACGGAAAAGUUGUAGGACCAAAACUAAGCAUUGGAUCGCUCUCCUUUUUAUUGUUAUUAUCAUGCUGUUGGGGAACAAAGGCAUUAAAUCAGUCCGCUCCUCAGGCAUGCCAUUAAACUAACACUUUGUAGUUCCCUGGUUUAUUGGGCUGAAGGUUGAGGCAGAGGACGGCUGUCAGGUUCGUCUUACUCAGCUGUAUAACAUCGUGCAUCUUUUAAUGUUCAUUAAGUACCUCUUUUUAUGUUAGGUACAAAUCCGUGCGGAAAUUCAACCGCUUAGUCUGAGAUUAAACACAUGACACCACAUAUAAACAAAUUUGUUUUUCUUAUUGUACGUUUUUCUCCUAAAAAUUUUGUACUGUUAGUUCUUUAUACUGUAGUUUAUAGUAUUUAGUUUUAUAAUCCCUUUGAUAUGUUUUCAGCUAAUAAAUCAGCUCUUCUCCUUUUAAGAUUUACUCCGAUGACCAAAUUUAACAUCGCUUUUUUUUUUUCUGGGCAAAAUCUCUACAGAAUUUAUUGUUCAGCUUUACCUGGUGUGUAUUUUCAAGUGUAUGCUAUGCCUGUAACGCACUUUAAUGGGAACAUAUAAAUAAACUCCUACAUAGAUAUAAAAAGUGACCGUGUAGAAAACCAUUGACUUUUACCUUUCCUGUAGGGGGACGAGGAAGUCUUUGUGCUAAUAUCUCCUCUUUAAUGCACCGGCGGUUUCCCAAACACGCCGCACAAGCCAUUAAAAUGUGAUUUGUGUAUAUCUUGUUUCUUUUUUUUUAAAGCUUAUGUGUGUGUUAUGUGUGUGUAGACUGAAGUUUAUUGUAAAUGUCAGCAAUUUCCACUUACAGAAGGAUUUUAAUUGAGAAUAUCCAUGUGUGAACAAUUUACAUUCAGGAUGCUGAGACACGUCACGAGGCUCAGAUAUGUAAACUUGUCCUGGAGAAGCAAGAACUAGAGUGGCAGAAGGUGUGUGUUCCAACAAGAGCCUUUUUUUAAGGCUAUGUGAACAGCAUUAGUAUGUCUUAAAAUGUUUGGUGUGAUAUUUUUAGGAGUCUCUACAAAAUCAAAUCAACAGGAUGACAAAUGAACUAUCAGAAUCCCUCGCUGCUGUUAAAAAGAAGUUUCAGGCUCAGGUUCAAGGAAUAGAAGAAGAAAAGGGGAAACACCAACUGAGUGCUGAAUUAAAGGACAAAGAGAUCACCAGCCUGAAGGAAGAGUUGAAGCUGCUGCAGGUACAUGGAUGUGCAGAGAAUCGUCAUUUUCUCCUUUGUACACAUUUUGUCUUCAGUGGGAAAAUUCAUCUCUUUGUUUUGUCAAACAAAUGACAUCUUUUGAUGGAUGCUGUCCUGUA